RNAcentral lists this ribosomal RNA (403 nucleotides) under uncultured bacterium. RNAcentral's name for it is "partial 16S ribosomal RNA". It matches the Rfam family "Bacterial small subunit ribosomal RNA", at positions 30 to 526 of the family's 1533-position model. The record is from RNAcentral.
AUUGAACGCUGGCGGCAGGCCUAACACAUGCAAGUCGAGCGAGCGGCGGACGGGUGAGUAAUGUAUGGGGACUGCCCGAUAGAGGGGGAUAACUCCUGGAACCGGUGGCUAAUACCGCCUACUGUCGGCGAACCCAUAUGGGAUUAGCUAGUAGGUAAGGUAAUGGCUUACCUAGGCGACUAUCCCUAGCUGGUCUGAGAGGAUGAUCAGCCACACUGGGACUGAGACACGGCCCAGACGCCUAUGGAGGCAGCAGUGGCGAAUAUUGUACAAUGGGCGUAAGCCUGAUGCAGCCAUGCCGCGUGUAUGAAGAAGGCCCUAGAGUGGUAAAGUACUUUCAGGCGGGAGUCGUUAGUGACAGAAGAAGGACCGGCUAACUCCGUACCAGCAGCCGCGGUAAUUC